GACGAACGCUGGCGGCGCGCUUAACACAUGCAAGUCGAACGGAAAGGCCUGCUUUCCCUUGUGGAUUGCGGGUACUCGAGUGGCGAACGGGUGAGUAACACGUGAGUGAUCUGCCCCCAACUUGGGUAUAAGCCUGGGAAACUGGGUCUAAUUCCCGAUAGGACUGCAGGGUGGUGCCUGUGGUGGAAGACGAUUUUCUAGUGGUUGGGGAUGAGCUCGCGGCCUAUCAGCUUGUUGGUGGGGUAAUGGCCUACCAAGGCGGCGACGGGUAGCCGGCCUGAGAGGGUGGACGGCCACAUUGGGACUGAGAUACGGCCCAGACGCCUACGGGAGGCAGCAGUGGGGAAUAUUGCACAAUGGGCGGAAGCCUGAUGCAGCGACGCCGCGUGGGGGAUGACGGCCUUCGGGUUGUAAACUCCUUUCGACCGCGAGGAAGCCACCUGGUUGGAAGGGUGGUGACGGUAGUGGUAGAAGAAGCACCGGCUAACUACGUG
This 494-nucleotide ribosomal RNA is filed under the name uncultured bacterium. RNAcentral describes it as "partial 16S ribosomal RNA". It matches the Rfam family "Bacterial small subunit ribosomal RNA", at positions 28 to 507 of the family's 1533-position model. The record is from RNAcentral.